RNAcentral lists this ribosomal RNA (440 nucleotides) under uncultured bacterium. RNAcentral's name for it is "partial 16S ribosomal RNA". It matches the Rfam family "Bacterial small subunit ribosomal RNA", at positions 338 to 795 of the family's 1533-position model. The record is from RNAcentral.
CCUACGGGAGGCAGCAGUGGGGAAUAUUGGACAAUGGGGGAAACCCUGAUCCAGCGACGCCGCGUGAGUGAAGAAGUAUUUCGGUACGUAAAGCUCUAUCAGCAGGAAAGAAAAUGACGGUACCCGCAGAAUAAGCCUCGGCUAACUACGUGCCAGCAGCCGCGGUAAUACGUAGGAGGCAAGCGUUAUCCGGAAUGACUGGGCGUAAAGGGUGCGUAGGUGGUUUGGCAAGUUGGUAGCGUAAUCCCGGGGCUCAACCUCGGUGCUACUACCAAAACUGUUGAACUUGAGUGCAGGAGGGGUGAAUGGAAUUCCCAGUGUAGCGGUGGAAUGCGUAGAUAUUGGGAAGAACACCAGCGGCGAAGGCGAUUCACUGGACUGUAACUGACACUGAGGCACGAAAGCGUGGGGAGCAAACAGGAUUAGAUACCCCGGUAGUC